Molecule: unclassified non-coding RNA, 148 nt
Organism: Pongo abelii (Sumatran orangutan)
Lineage: Eukaryota; Metazoa; Chordata; Mammalia; Primates; Hominidae
Rfam family: Metazoan signal recognition particle RNA
About the family: The signal recognition particle (SRP) is a universally conserved ribonucleoprotein.
Source: Ensembl
GCCGGGUGUGGUGGUGCACGCCUGUAAUCCCAGCUACUCAGGAGGCUGAGGCAGGAGAAUCGCUUGAACCCAGGAGGCAGAGGUUGCAGUGAGCCGAGAUCUUGCCACUGUACUCCAUCCUGGGCAACAGAGCGAGACUCCGUCUCAA